GUUGGCAGGCCUAACACAUGCAAGUCGAACGGUAACAGGAAACAGCUUGCUGUUUCGCUGACGAGUGGCGGACGGGUGAGUAAUGUCUGGGAAACUGCCUGAUGGAGGGGGAUAACUACUGGAAACGGUAGCUAAUACCGCAUAACGUCGCAAGACCAAAGAGGGGGACCUUAGGGCCUCUUGCCAUCGGAUGUGCCCAGAUGGGAUUAGCUAGUAGGUGGGGUAAAGGCUCACCUAGGCGACGAUCCCUAGCUGGUCUGAGAGGAUGACCAGCCACACUGGAACUGAGACACGGUCCAGACUCCUACGGGAGGCAGCAGUGGGGAAUAUUGCACAAUGGGCGCAAGCCUGAUGCAGCCAUGCCGCGUGUAUGAAGAAGGCCUUCGGGUUGUAAAGUACUUUCAGCGGGGAGGAAGGGAGUAAAGUUAAUACCUUUGCUCAUUGACGUUACCCGCAGAAGAAGCACCGGCUAACUCCGUGCCAGCAGCCGCGGUAAUACGGAGGGUGCAAGCGUUAAUCGGAAUUACUGGGCGUAAAGCGCACGCAGGCGGUUUGUUAAGUCAGAUGUGAAAUCCCCGGGCUCAACCUGGGAACUGCAUCUGAUACUGGCAAGCUUGAGUCUCCGUAGAGGGGGGUAGAAUUCCAGGUGUAGCGGUGAAAUGCGUAGAGAUCUGGAGGAAUACCGGUGGCGAAGGCGGCCCCCUGGACGAAGACUGACGCUCAGGCGCGAAAGCGUGGGGAGCAAACAGGAUUAGAUACCCUGGUAGUCCACGCCGUAAACGAUGUCGACUUGGAGGUUGUGCCCUUGAGGCGUGGCUUCCGGAGCUAACGCGUUAAGUCGACCGCCUGGGGAGUACGGCCGCAAGGUUAAAACUCAAAUGAAUUGACGGGGGCCCGCACAAGCGGUGGAGCAUGUGGUUUAAUUCGAUGCAACGCGAAGAACCUUACCUGGUCUUGACAUCCACGGAAGUUUUCAGAGAUGAGAAUGUGCCUUCGGGAACCGUGAGACAGGUGCUGCAUGGCUGUCGUCAGCUCGUGUUGUGAAAUGUUGGGUUAAGUCCCGCAACGAGCGCAACCCUUAUCCUUUGUUGCCAGCGGUCCGGCCGGGAACUCAAAGGAGACUGCCAGUGAUAAACUGGAGGAAGGUGGGGAUGACGUCAAGUCAUCAUGGCCCUUACGACCAGGGCUACACACGUGCUACAAUGGCGCAUACAAAGAGAAGCGACCUCGCGAGAGCAAGCGGACCUCAUAAAGUGCGUCGUAGUCCGGAUUGGAGUCUGCAACUCGACUCCAUGAAGUCGGAAUCGCUAGUAAUCGUGGAUCAGAAUGCCACGGUGAAUACGUUCCCGGGCCUUGUACACACCGCCCGCCACACCAUGGGAGUGGGUUGCAAAAGAAGUAGGUAGCUUAACCUUCGGGAGGGCGCUUACCACUUUGUGAUUCAUGACUGGGGUGAA
RNAcentral lists this ribosomal RNA (1457 nucleotides) under uncultured organism. Its description in RNAcentral is "SSU rRNA". It matches the Rfam family "Bacterial small subunit ribosomal RNA". The record is from RNAcentral.